This 640-nucleotide ribosomal RNA is filed under the name Copiula obsti. RNAcentral describes it as "partial 12S ribosomal RNA". The stretch from base 1 to 468 matches the Rfam family "Bacterial small subunit ribosomal RNA", at positions 872 to 1533 of the family's 1533-position model. The record is from RNAcentral. Lineage: Eukaryota; Metazoa; Chordata; Amphibia; Anura; Microhylidae.
GCCGGGAACUACAGCCCAGCUUAAAACCCAAAGGACUUGACGGUGCCCCAUCCCCCUAGAGGAGCCUGUUCUACAAUCGAUAACCCCCGAUCAACCUCACCCCUUCUUGAAAUAUCAGCCUGUAUACCUCCGUCGCAAGCCCGUCAUGUGAAUGCAUUCAACGGACCCAACGAUUCUACGUCAUCACCACGUCAGGUCAAGGUGCAGCUUAUGAAGCGGAAUGAAAUGGGCUACAAUUUCUACCUUAGAACAUACGGAACACUAUGUGCAAUAUAGUCACAAGGCGGAUUUAGCAGUAAAAAGAAAAUAGAGAGUUCUUUUUAAUUAGGCAAUGAGGCGCGUACACACCGCCCGUCACCCUCUUCAAACGACACUUACAAUAAUGUCACUAACUUCUCCCUGUCCUAAAGAAGAGGCAAGUCGUAACACGGUAAGCGUACUGGAAGGUGUGCUUGGAACAACAAAAUGUAACUUAACAAAAGUAUCUUGCUUACACCAAGAAUAUGUCCGUAAAACUCCGACCAUUUUGAGCUCAAAAUCUAGCCCUACUAACCCUACGACCCAAAUAACAACACACCCCUAACAAAUACUAUAAAACAUUUUAUUAACUUAGUAUAGGCGAUCAAAAAGUUUCUAGGAG